This is a long non-coding RNA of Clupea harengus (Atlantic herring), 3049 nucleotides long. NCBI's taxonomy places the organism in Eukaryota, Metazoa, Chordata, Actinopteri, Clupeiformes, Clupeidae. The record is from Ensembl.
UGCCACUAAGGUUGUGAAGAAAACAUGCCAGGCUGUGACCCAGGUCACAUACUAAUACACAGACUAGCCCCCAAAUACUCACGAUCUGUUCAAGGGAUAAAUAGCAAGCCUGCUGCUCCAUAAUGGUGGCUUGUAAACCAAAGAAAAGCCAAAACUUCAUUUCAACCAAAUUCGCCAUUACAAACGCCACACAGAACAUGAAUGCAGCCCCAUUCCUACCAAUGACCAGAAUCAACCACGGAUCAGGACAGGGGUUCUCAUAAAGAGUUCCUGCUGAUUAUUUUAAAUUCAGAAAAGCAAAUAAAAAAUGACUUUAUCGCCAAUUAUUUGCGGAGAGUUUGGACGGCAGGUUUUUGGACUGAACGUAUCCUGUUUCACUUGAAAGCAGAGUUCAGCGUUUGGAUUAGAUGUAGUCAUUCACUGCAUUUUUUUAUUAUCCCCAAAGCUGAAUAAUAACACAGAAGCUCUUCUACACCGUCCCGUAACCCCUGUUUGUGGUGCAAAAAAAGGAUGCUGUGUGUUUAUACCUCAUGCACCAAUGAUUCCACUGAGGGUUAUUCUCAGGAAGAGUCAAUGAACCAUUGCAAGCAUUCUAACUACUGUUUGCUUGGGGAAAAAACUGAACCACUUCUGUAGUCAUGGUCAUGAUGGAAUUUACGGGGGAAAAAAUCGUAAAUGUUGUUUAUGAACGAAAAAAUGUAUUGCUUUAAAAUAAUUUUAAAAUAAUGAUCAUAUGGAUGUAAUCUAAUAAUACAUGCGGCGUAAUACAUUUUAAUAUAAAAUGUUGUAAAAUAGCUAUGUAAAUAGAAAUAUAAAAAUAGUUUAAUUCCUGAAAUGAGAGGAAUACCAGUACUUUUGAAAUACUAGGCCUACUUGCUAGAUUAAUAAUAUUGGUAGAACAGUUAUACAGAGAAUAUAAUGUUCCGUAUAUUUUCGAAGGCAGCGAUCAACUAUCCAAUUUUAUCUGUUUUUUGACGUGUGUGCACACAGACUUUUUAAAAUUAUUCUAUUUACUGCUUCUAAUAAAAGUCCAAUUUAUCUCAAAUAUCUAAAUUUACGCAGUAAUCCGUACUUUUACGGCAAAAACCAAUACGUGGCCAUGAAACACUCAAAACUAAUACUAAUAAUUAAACACGAGGUCUAUGACAUUUUAAUAUUUGCUUUUUAUUUGCCUCUGGAGAGUAUGGAGAGUAACUCCAUACUCUCCAGAGGCAAUUGAAAAGCAAAUAUUAAAACUGCUUGCAUUUCAAUUGCAUGAGGUCUAAAACAUUAAACACAGCACGUAAUAAAAGAACAUUAAACCAAAACUAUUUUACUGCAAACAUUGAAAACAAUUUAAAUUUAAAAACAAAUGGAGAGGGAGUGUGCUGAUUCAUCUAACUGACAAACUCACUCAAUUAUCUGUGCUUUGCUAUGUGUGUACGGACAUCUGCUGACGUUUAUCACGCAAGGUGUAGUCUGCUAGACUGGAAUGGUUUGCCAAGGCCAAUUCCAAAAUAUCUUGUCUCUUGUGGGUUACUUUUCUGUCUAACUUUGUUUAUGUGGCUGUGGUACAAACCAGAGGGAGAAAAUAUGAGUGCAGGUUAUAAUUAAACACUUGACUGACCAGACAACGCAGAUAAGCAUACAAUUACACAUUCCUGAGCUAGACAUCUGCAACCCAUGGCAAUCAGUCCAUGCUGCAGCUUCAAUCAGAGGGCCCUGCAUCAGGAAGGCAAGUCCCAUGCUAAGCCUAAUCACUCCUCACAGACGGAGCCUGUAAGGAUUAUGCAUGGGGUACAUCCACAAACAGGCACAAUUAACUGGACAUACAUGAUUCAGGCAAGAUUGUGGCCCAAAGUGAAAAGCACAGACUUACAGUAGGAGACUAUUUACAAAUGAAACCCAUUCAAAUGGUGUAGAAUACAGAUGGGAAAUAUGUGAGAUGUGCCAGCCAUAGCAACUGACUGACUAACCUGCCAGAAGUAUGAAGAGACUAAGUGUGGGCAUUGCUUACUGACCUGGCCUGCAUUUCCCUGAAAGCAUUGUUGAUCAGCCACCGUGUUAACGAAGAGUUAACUGUGCAAUUGUUAUCUAGCUUUUAUUGACUCCUAUGGGACAGUGGGGAGAGAAAUCACCCAUGAAGAGAACCCCAGGAAAUCUGAGAUUACUUAAGGCCUAGAUCUUCAAAUCCAAUCUGCAAAUAUAAUAUACAUCAUAUAAUAAACUGGUCUGUUUUGUCCUGCAUCAGUACAACCAUAGAGGCUGUGAUUUACUGAUCAUUAAAAUGAAUGUGACUGAUGCCAUUAAAGGGGAAACGCACAGCUUACCAAUAGGCGUUACAGGUUUUGUGCCAGAAGCCAAAACAGCUGAGCUUUAAGGUGCCAGUAUGGUACUCAAACUCCGUUACGGAUGGGUGGGCCGCCGGAUAGGACGGAUUAAUUAGCAUUUCUGUUGCCUUUAUGGUUCUCCGAAGGCUGGGGGUGCUGAAAACAAUUCACCGCCAGAACAGUAGGUGGAGAAGCGUUUUUUUGUCGUAGACACGUUGCUUUGCAACGCCUUUGUAAGUUAGAAAUCGUCGUUGUUUAUCUCCCUCUUCCCGUCCACGUGUGACCCUCCUACCAGCUGUCACUAGUCAGACCAUAAGUGCAGCAGGUGUAGUCACAUGAUAUUAUAUUCAAGGGUGUGUCUAAUGCCAUAUAACCACCUGAAAGGGCAAACUUAUCUCUAUCAUGGUAGGUAUUAUUUGUGGGGAAAAUAGUAGCACUCUAUAACAAAAUGAUAUGCUUAUCUUAUAUACACUAUUAAAACUAUUAAAAAACGAUUCCCUUAAAUGAAUACGUUCUUAUUUUCUUUGGUAUUUUUGUCAUAUUCAGAUUUGCAAUGAUGAUUGCUGGGUAAUAUGUAUGUUGUGGUCCAAUGUCAAGUCUCUAUUUUAUCAUGUGACAAGACGAUGGUAUAGCUAGUUUAGGCACAGCAUCUGAACGUCAAGACCGACAAGCUGACAGUGUUGUACAAGUUCACACCUCUCAUGAACCAGUUCAAAGUUCAGUUCAAACAAGUAAACAUG